RNAcentral lists this ribosomal RNA (406 nucleotides) under uncultured bacterium. RNAcentral describes it as "partial 16S ribosomal RNA". It matches the Rfam family "Bacterial small subunit ribosomal RNA", at positions 30 to 526 of the family's 1533-position model. The record is from RNAcentral.
AUUGAACGCUGGCGGCAGGCCUAACCCAUGCAAGUCGAACGAGUGGCGGACGGGUGAGUAAUGUCUGGGAAACUGCCCGAUGGAGGGGGAUAACUACUGGAAACGGUAGCUAAUACCGCAUACCAUCGGAUGGGACCAGCGGGGAUUAACUAGGAGGUGGGGUAACGGCUCACCUAGGCGACGAUCCCUAGCUGGUCUGAGAGGAUGACAAUCCACCCUGUAACUGAGACACUGUCCAUACUCCUACGGUAGGCAGCAGUGGGGAAUAUUGCACGAUGGUCGCAAGCCUUAUGCAGCCAUGCCGCGUGUAUGAAGAAGUCCUUCGGGUUGUAAAGUACUUUCAGCGAGGAGGGGUUACUCGCAGAAGAAGCACCGGCUAACUCCGUGCCAGCAGCCGCGGUAAUAC